UAAGACAGUGAAAAAUCCAUGACAUUAGAAUUUUGUCCAGGCCCAAAGGGAACUAAUUCUGUGGUGAAAUACUGUAAUACAAGCUCCAACUCAAGCACACUCAAAUUCUUAAACAUUCUGUUUCCUGGGAGAUGGAUACAACCCUUUAAGAACUCAUCUGUCUGUUCUGGAAGACAAAUUCUGGAAGAAACACCUUGCUUUUUUGUUUAAAAGAAGUGAUCUGAGACUACUCAAAAAUAACAAAACACAUAGAGAACACCAACAUACAACGAACCGCAUACAGCUUUAAAAGACUAUCAACUCUUGUCUGAACCCAGCAUCAUAAACAUCGUAACAGGUAAAGUUUUGCCGCUUUUUAAACCGUUCAACCUUGGCAGUAGAUUCUAAGUUAUUUUAAAGCAAUAACACUCAAAGGUAAAACAGAUCGAACUCACGUAUUUACAGCAAAUGAAAGGAAGUCUUUAGAAGAGGACAGCGAUAAAGUUACAAUGCUCAAAGGAUAUACAGAGAAUAAAAAACAGGAGACAACAUGGAGAGAGGGAAAGGGAAGGAAGUAAAAAAAAAAAUCAGUCAUCCACAGAGAUCUCAGAUCUCUAUGCAUAUUUAUAUAUUGAAUCUACAGCUCUGAGCUGUAGAUUCAAAGUUUGAAUUCCUGAUAAAACAUCUUUAACAGGAAAAACACAAAACUCCCUUCUUAGAAGAAAAUCUAGUCAUGGAAACCUCUCAAACCAUUUCAAAAUUCAAGAAGUUUUCUCAGAAAAAUAUCAUGAGUUCCUAUCUAUAGCUGACAAGUAUGGAUGGAAGGAUGAAUGUAUAGCAAUUGCAUUCAGGGACACUGUUACUUUUGCUGUGUCCAGUUCUCCAACCUCUCUUUCCAGGAACGCAUUCACUGCAGCACAUCGCUCACAGGUAGCUCAGGCAGAAAUAGAAAUGAAGCAGCAGCAGCAGAGCUUCAGUAUGGCCCGUGCACUUUGCUGAAGACCUGAUUCUGCCCAAAUUCAGGUUGGAGCUGGAGAGCCACUAGAAAGACCAUUAACUUUGAAGCCUGCAGUCACUUCAAGAAGGACAAUGGAAUUUGAGGAAGUCCAACUCUGGGAUUAUUUUAAAUGGUACAAUAGUAUUGUCUCACCUGAAAUCCCCCAGAACACCACAAAAAACAAGAGUUAAUGUGUUUAGUCCUCAAGACAACUGCAUCUCAAGUUAACUCUAAACCUUCAAGAUACACCUAAACUUCAGCUAAGGAUCUUUGUGUGGAAUUCAGAAGUCUUUUCAAGUCUGAGUGUAACUUGACCCCCAUUGAUGGCUGUACUAAUCUAUUUCCUUGAAAGCAAGGUGAAACAGGACAUUUAAAACCUUCACACAUUAAAUAUGCAUCAACUAAUACAUUUAUUUACUUAUUUUAAGUAUAUGCUGUCAAAGACAAGGAGCA
This is a long non-coding RNA of Cygnus olor (mute swan), 1429 nucleotides long. RefSeq lists it as uncharacterized. The transcript is spliced from 4 exons. The record is from RefSeq and is a predicted model, not a curated record. Lineage: Eukaryota; Metazoa; Chordata; Aves; Anseriformes; Anatidae.